Molecule: long non-coding RNA, 870 nt
Filed under: Erythranthe guttata (spotted monkey flower)
Lineage: Eukaryota; Viridiplantae; Streptophyta; Magnoliopsida; Lamiales; Phrymaceae
Description: long non-coding RNA (EGUT_LNC001059)
Source: RNAcentral
UUCGCGUGUCUAUUCCUUAUUUCGUAAAAUAAAGACUACCACUUCCAUGUAUUUUGCAUGUAAAAAAUUCAAAUAUAUCAACAUUAGGAAUCAUUACAAUUACAUUACACAUUAUUUUUAUGGCUCCCUCACAUCUACAAAAAUUGCAAAUCAAAUCUUGAUACACCAAUCUCAAUUCACCACAAAACUCCACCAAUCCAAUUAACCCAAAAUUUUCCAACCAAAAAGUAGUCCGUCCAUAGUGCUCUAGCUACCAUGCCCCAUGCCCAUUAAUUCUUUCUAAUUUCAAACAUAGCCAUUUGUAGUGCUCCACUUCAAUUUGUCUCAUUUUGACCACCACCACCACCAUCACCACCACACACCACCGCCACCACCGCCGCCACCACCACCACCGGAGGUAUGACAGAGGAUUUUUUUAUUUAUCUACUUAAAAAAGUUGCAAAAUUAAAGAAAAGGCCCAUCGCCAGCUCUUUGCAUUUAUGAUCAUCGAUCCAUCACUUCUCCCCCCACCACCCUCAACAAAGAAUCGUAUACUAAAUAUUAAAUGUACAAAAACAAAAAAAAAAAAGAAAAAAAGAAAACUAAACCUGCUUACACAUAUACGUACAGAUGAGAGACAGUGCAAUGGCCAACCUACUAUAAAUUCUUUAAAUGCACUCCCAUUCUUCACUCACUUCCCCAAUUUAAUGCCCCCAUCAGAACUUCCAGACAAGCAAUUAAAUGAGGGCACUCUUCCCACUAUAUAAAUUAAUAUAAUUUUAUUUUAUUUAUUUUGUUUCCAAACCAGCGUUAAUUGUGGUCCAUCCACGUGUCUUCAAUCCUCACCGUCUACUAAAUCUCUCCGGUGACAAUAGCGCCUCUGGAUCGCCG